GGGGACAAUUGCUCUCAAUUAGAGCACCACGUCAUUGAUUUCUGCUUGAAUAUUGGGAUGCAGCGGUCAUGGAUUUUGUAAACCUUUUUUGCCGAGGAGAUGUGGUUAGCGGAUUUGCAGUGCAGUGGGAGGAAAUUUAAAGGGCAAUGGGAGAAGAAGGGGAGAGCCUUUGGUGUUUAGCUGGCUCAAUUUGUUUGAGGCGUUGAGUUUUCUGACGCCAUCAACUGAGGUUGAAAUUUUUAAUUUUUUGUCUAGGAAUUGUCCGUGAAGAAAUGCAUGGUAAUUUGGUCACCGCUACAACAAGAAGGACGCUCCCUUGCCUGGCAUCAACGAGGGCCAACAGAUAAACAACACCAGUUUUGAAUUCCACACUCAUGCAGAUAUAUUCCACCACUGAAUGUGGCUGCACUUUUGAAACAAAUUCUGAAAUUUUGUGCAAGCCACCAAUUUAGAAAUAUAUACAUUUGGUGGAUUACCAAAGUUUGUAUGUAAAACACUUUGGUUGUAGAUGAUUACUGCCAUAAGCCAAUCAA
Theobroma cacao (cacao) is the source of this 533-nucleotide non-coding RNA. Lineage: Eukaryota; Viridiplantae; Streptophyta; Magnoliopsida; Malvales; Malvaceae. The record is from RefSeq and is a predicted model, not a curated record.